GCCAGGGGCGUAGUGCAGGCCACACCUGGUCUUUCUCUUAUACAUAACAUAACAUAACAUACAUAUUCCAUGGUGCCGGGGGCAUAGUGCAGGCCACUUCCGGUCUUUCUCUUACAUAGUGCCAGGGGCGUAGUGCAGGCCACACCUGGACUUCCAUAUCAUAUCAUCAUGUCAUAACAUAUGAGGGCUAAUGGAUCAUUCAACAUUCAUCCACAUCAACAACAUAUUAUGCAAUGCAACAUAUUCGUGAUUUCUAAUGCAAACAACCUAAAAUAUCACAUGGCAUCCGUGAUGCAUGAACAUGCUCAAAAC
RNAcentral lists this long non-coding RNA (312 nucleotides) under Manihot esculenta (cassava). Its description in RNAcentral is "long non-coding RNA (MESC_LNC000249)". The record is from RNAcentral. Lineage: Eukaryota; Viridiplantae; Streptophyta; Magnoliopsida; Malpighiales; Euphorbiaceae.